UUUCCUUAGUAACGUACCUAACGCGUGAAGUUGACCGCCUGGGGAGUGCGGUCGCCAGAUUGAACUCAAARGAAUUGAUGGGGACCCSCCCAAGCGGCGGAUGAUGUGGAUUAAUUCGAUGCAACGCGAAAAACCUUACCUACCCUUGACGUGGUCGGAACCCUGCUGAAAGGUGGGGGUGCUCGAAAGAGAACCGAUACACAGGKGCUGCAUGGCUGUCGUCAGCUCGAGUCGUGAGAUGUUGGGUUAAGUCCCGCAACGAGCGCAACCCUUGUCCUUAGUUGCUACGCAWGAGCACUCUAAGGAGACUGCSGGUGACAAACCGGAGGAAGGGGGGGAUGACGACAAGUCCUCAUGGCCCUUAUGGKUAGGGCUUCACACGUCAUACAAUGGUGGGAACAGAGGGCUGCCAACCCGUGAGGGGGAGCUAAUCCCAGAAAACCGAUCGUAGUCGGGAUCGUAAUCCGCAACUCGACYACGUGAAGSUGGAAUCGCUAGUAAUCGCGGAUCAGCAUGCCGCGGUGAAUACGUUCCCGGCUCUUGUCCCCCCCGCCCGUCACUCCAUGAGAGUGGGUUCCACCAGAAGUAGUAGCCUAACCGC
This 601-nucleotide ribosomal RNA is filed under the name Caballeronia glathei. RNAcentral's name for it is "bacterial SSU rRNA". The record is from RNAcentral. Lineage: Bacteria; Pseudomonadati; Pseudomonadota; Betaproteobacteria; Burkholderiales; Burkholderiaceae.